This is a non-coding RNA of Triticum aestivum (bread wheat), 135 nucleotides long. NCBI's taxonomy places the organism in Eukaryota, Viridiplantae, Streptophyta, Magnoliopsida, Poales, Poaceae. The record is from Rfam.
GUAGUACUCCCUCCGUCCCAAAAUUCUUGUCUUACAUUUGUUUAGAUACCGAUGUAUCUAACACUAAAAUGUAACUAGAUACAUCCGUAUUUAGACAAAUUUAAGACAAGAAUUUUGGGAUGGAGGGAGUACAAA